UGCCUAUGCUUUGCCCUCAGGAAAGAUUGUGGCAUAUUACUGAACUAAGCAACCUAGUGACGUGUCUCUUCUGACUGGGGCUUGCCCACAGAGACAACUGUGACAUAGCACUGAGCCCAGGACCCAGGUGAUGUGACUCUGCUGCCUGUUUCCAACAUUCAUGAGAGGAUGGUAACUAUCCCUUGCCAAGAACUCAGGUGAUUUGACUGUCCUGCCUUGUUGCUGCCCUCAGAGAAGAUUGUGAUAUAUCUUCAGCCCCAAACCCAGACUUUCCUGCAGGAGUGAUGCUGACAUGUUCCUCUAUUUGGCAUCUGAGUGAUAUGACUCUUGCCAUGGUCUAGCCCACAGAUGGAAUUGUGAUGUGUUGCUGUACCCAGCACCUAGUUUUUGCCCACAGGGGAGAUUGUGACAUAUCACUGGGCCUCAAACUAAGGUGAAGUUACACUUUCAUUUUCGAACUGUACUCAGAAGGCAUCGUGACAUAUUCCUGGGCCCAGCACCAAGGUGAUGUGAGUCUCCUGCCUGCACUUUGCCCACAAAUGGCAUUGUAACAUAUCUUUAGACCUAUCAACUACUUGAUAUGACUUAUUUUUUUAAAGUGAAAGCAAGUUUAUUAGAGAAGUAAAUAAACAAAAGAAUGGCUACUCCAUAGACAGAGAAGACCUCAGGGCUGCUCAUUGGCUCUUUUCAUGGUUAUUUCUUGAGUACAUACUAAACAAGGGAUGGAUUAUUUGUGAGUUUUCCAGGGAAAGGAUGGGCAAUUUCCAGAACUCAGGGUGCCUUCCCUUUUUAGACCAUAUAGGAUACCUUCCUAACAUUGCCAUGACAUUUGUAAAGUGUCAUGGUGCUGUUGGGAGUGUCUUUUAGCAUACUGAUGCAUUACAUUUAGUGUAUAAUGAGCAGUGAGGACUAACAGAGGUCACUUUCAUUGCAGUUUUUCUUUCGGUGGGUUUUUGCUGUCUUUUGUCCUGUAUCCUCUUUUAUCAGCAAGGUGUUUGUGAAUGGUACCUUGUGGUGACCUCUUGUCUUAUCCUGUGACAUAGAAUGCCUGAUCUUCUGAGAGCACAGGAAUUGGGUUAAUUCCUUUCUUUUUGAGGUCUCCAGAUAACUCGGGGCUCUUGGGCCUGGCAGAA
RNAcentral lists this long non-coding RNA (1133 nucleotides) under Homo sapiens (human). Its description in RNAcentral is "HSALNT0257366". Lineage: Eukaryota; Metazoa; Chordata; Mammalia; Primates; Hominidae. The record is from RNAcentral.